Molecule: ribosomal RNA, 511 nt
Filed under: uncultured bacterium
Lineage: Bacteria
Description: bacterial SSU rRNA
Rfam family: Bacterial small subunit ribosomal RNA
Source: RNAcentral
GAUUAUGGCUCAGGAUGAACGCUAGCGGCAGGCUUAACACAUGCAAGUCGAGGGGCAGCGGGAUGUAGCAAUACAUUGCCGGCGACCGGCGGAUGGGUGCGUAACGCGUAUGCAACCUACCUUAUACAGGGGAAUAACCUUUCGAAAGGGAGACUAACACCCCAUAGUAUUGAUUUAAGGCAUCUUAGAUUAAUUAAAUAUUUAUAGGUAUAAGAUGGGCAUGCGUAUGAUUAGCUAGUUGGUAGGGUAACGGCUUACCAAGGCGACGAUCAUUAGGGGUUCUGAGAGGAAGGUCCCCCACACUGGUACUGAGACACGGACCAGACUCCUACGGGAGGCAGCAGUGAGGAAUAUUGGUCAAUGGGCGCAAGCCUGAACCAGCCAUGCCGCGUGCAGGAAAGACGGCCUUAUGGGUUGUAAACUGCUUUUACAUAAGACUAACCGUAUAUUUGCGAAUAUACCUGAAUGUAUUAUGAGAAUAAGGAUCGGCUAACUCCGUGCCAGCAGCUGC